CCAUCAAUCGGCGGUUUUGGUUUAGCGUCUGGAGGAGAGUGGUAUUCGUGGCAGUGUUUGCGUGUGUGCUGUAAAAUAGUUAAAUAUAACGAUGAGUGCUACGAGUGACCCUGUACGAGAGCGUCGACUGAAUAAUGCCGAGGCUAUGCGACGAAGGCGUGCAGUCGAAACAGACGCGCAAAGGCGGCGCCGUUUGGCAGCUGUAGCAGAGAGAAGGACGCGUCGGCAGCGCGCAGUCGAACCGUACGAGGAGCAGCAAGUGCGUUUGGCCGGCGCAGCUAAAGCGAGGCGUCGGAAGCGUAAAGCGGAGUCUCGUAAAGAACGACAACAUCGUUUAGCCGCUGAUGCCGAAGUGAAGCGGCAAGAGGAGGCGACGAGGCGGGAAGCAGAACGUGCGGUGGAAGCGGUGCGGAUGCGCUGGGAGCAGCUGUUACUGACGGUCAAGAAUAGACAAGAGCAGCAGCACAGAGCCGACGCCGAGCUGAGACCCCGAAGAGGUUGCUCUCCUCCACGGCCCAAACAUUGCAUGUCGUUGCAGUUUGAGCAUUGGGACCCCGUAGUCGCUAUUGCCUGCAACGAACAGCGCCUCGCUCUGCAAGUGUUGCUUGCUGCCAGGGACCGACCAACAGGCUUCUGCGUUUCUGCUGGGCUGUUGUGCGACAACCAGGAACACUGUGGGACAUCCGUGUCCGUCGGCGAGCAUUCCGAAGCCGAUGAGCAGGCAAACUCCUGGGACGGUGUCAACACUGCAGCGACCGUCACGAGUGGAUACGGCAUCUCCCAUAGCAGCAAGGUUAUGAGGCAGAAUGUUGCCAACUGGCGUACGCACAAGUCAGUGGCUGCAGGAUCCACCACAGUAAUGCAAGGAGACGCUGCCGCACAAUGCGACCGGAGAGCAGAUGUUGCUGUCCAGUCCACAUGGUGUAAGGAGGGCGUGUCCAAAUCAACACAGGCUGAGUUAUUCACUCUGAAGGUCUCCAGGUGGACGCAGUCCAAUGAUCUCGAAGAAAGCUACAGUACCUCUCCACUGCUGGAACAGCCAAGCAAAGGUGCACCCUCAUAGCAUUUUAAUAGUAUUAUCACCAUUAUAAAUGACUAAUUUAAAGGAACACUAAAGAUGAAUGAUAAAUUAAGGCGGGUUUUCGAUAUCGCAUAUCUGCAAUGCCUCAAACACAAGUCAAACACAAGUAUGGUAAGACUGAGACAUGGGCUUGAAGUUCUCAAACUAGCUUCUUGUGACAUCAUUAGUAGGAAUAGAAUAUUCCAUGCUAUUUGAUUUGAGAAUUCCCUGUUUGAAGUUGUUAAAUAUUCCUUUCUGUUCAGACGUAAGGGGUAAGUAGCGACACUCGUUGGAAUCUCGAGGGAGGGAGGUCAAUGGACAUGGGAGCGGUUCCAAAUGAUUCUUCACCAGGAGAGCCACUCUUGUGCAGGUGCAUCAGUUCCUGAGCAAACGCACGGGGUCACUAACUUGUGCUCAGUAAUUCCUAGUGAUCCAAUAAGAAUGGCUCUCUUUUAGGCAGCCUACAUAUUGUUGCACAUACGUGUGAGAAAAACGAAGACCAGUGAGCUGAGCAGUUGCAUCCCACCAUUAGACUUGGCUCAUCUGUUUGUAGUAGACGAGCCACUCGUCGGCAUCUUCUCCCAUUUUUCCUCCGAAGGUGGAUGGCACUCGGUAGUACUGCAGUGGACUGUUAAAUGCUGCCCUCGAAGCAGCUCCUUCUAAGGGCAUGUCGAAGAUGGUCACGGCAGAUGGUGGAAGGCCGGCAAGUCGACUGCUUCGACGAAGCUGCAGCAAUGAUGAUUCCGCUGCUGUAAGUGCUUUCCCAGCACUUCUACCACUUUUUUACGUGCAAAAAUGACCGUUUAUCACCCUUGCGACUUAAGGGGGCUGUUUAUGUUAGGUCGCGAAGGUGAGCUCAAGAGCGGCCAGCUGGUUGAAGAUCUACAUGUUAUCCUCCUAUUCUUUCCCCACCCGGGACCACAAGCAUGCUUGCCAGUCUUCGUUUUGCUCACACGUAUGUGCAACAACAUAAGUAUGUUUCGAUAUAGGCAAAGCAAAUUAUUGUUUGACCAGUCUUGCCAUAUUCGCAUCACUUUAAAACAGUGCAUAGUGAUAGAGUAUCACACUUCUCUCCUUAAACAAGACCAACACUGUGUGUAUGUGUACAAAUUUGUCAAAAGCGUGCAGCCUAUUCUGCGCCUUCACCAUUUAUGCCAUUCAGCUGUGUGGUGUGGUUUUUGUAUAGUUUACUACAGACACCCUGGACUUAUGGAUGGUAAUUGCAAGGACUCUCAUUCCCAAAAGUAUCGAAACUUAUGCCACACUACAGGAAAACCCUUGCAGAGCCUGUAGUCAGUCUGGCAGUUGCAGUCAACAUAGCCUAUACACUUUUGAUAAAGACUGUAGGUCUGAUGACGUGCUGUUUCCAUGUUUCACUAAACAUUUUCGCAUUGCGCCAGGCAACUGAAAGUAGGUCUUUCUUAUUCACGAGCUCCUCAAUUGAUCGAAUAUCCAGUUGUUAAUGGCAUUACAUACAUCUAUGAAAUAUUCUAUAUUCGAAGGUCAUAUUUCUUGAAUAUUCAUAUUCAGAACAGAAAUUUCACAACUUGAACACUGAUAAUCAUGAGAUAUUUGACAGCAUGUGCUCAGCAUUAAUGUUUUAUGAAUGACCAGAUAUUAUGCUGCGUAUUAAAGGAACUGAAGACUUAACAUAGUGAGUUUUGAGGGCCUUUUCUGAACAAUAAUGAGUGCUACUUAUAAAAUGUGUGAUGGCUUAUAAUGCAUGCUGGUGCAGCAGUUAUAGCAUAAAAUUAAAAUGGAAACUUUGCCCUUCGACUUCUUCAGUGAUCAUAAUCUGCCAAGUAAAUGCAUAUCAAGUCUGGAAGGAAUGCUUCGCUGUUAAAAGCUUAGCUUAUCUUAGUGCCCCUUUCAUUUCAUCUCAUAAUGAAAACCUUUGUCUUCGGUAACUGCCUAACUGCACUUUCAGUUGUCCAGUUCUUUCUGCACAGCACAGAACACUGGAGACGCAGGAAAUGUAAAAUGCAUGCAAGUAUGUGUCUUAUUUCAUCUGCGUCACACACUUUUAUUUUGUGUUCAUGUGUGCGCUAGAACAGUAAAACAAAACAAAAAUGGAAACCACAGCAACCAGCACAAUCUUAAACAUUGCAUCCUUGGCCUAGAUAUUUCCCAGUCUCAUUUCCCCAUCUGAUCUUCUGCUGCCCUCGACUGCGUUUCUCGUCCCUUUGAAUGCAGAAUAUAUUUUAGACCAACAUUGCUUUGAUGCACUACUUCCUCAGGGUAGCAUGACAUGGGAAGAAGACGUGGCAGCAUCUGCAGGCAGAUAUGGGUUUUCAAAAUUUAAGUGUUAACAAUUCAAGCGACUGUUUCAAAUUAGAUAGUGACAUUCAGAAUAACUUAGCGUAGUGCCUUGGUAUGCUACCUUGGUUUGCACAUUUUUGCCAGUAUGAUUUUUACCAGCUUUCAUAGCAGAUGUUGAGAGCACCAUUGCAGUGUAGCAUACUUUACAUUCUCUUUCAGCAAUGCCUUUAGUCCUGAGCAACUCAAGGAGAAGCGACCAUGGAGUCCUGCAAGAAGCAAAUGUUGAUGGUGUCAUAGAAGGUGACAGCAGAUUCAGUGCGGACACUGGUGCAGCUCGCAGUGAAGAGAGAGCAAGCUCUCUCACAGUUAAUGCAGGGUCACCAUUUGUUGCCUAUAGCUGCAGACUUUGCUCACUCAAGUUCAGCGAGCUGGACGCCUUGGCCUCCCACGUAAAGACGUGCCCGUGGCCAGAGCCAUUCCAGUGCAGCCUGUGUUUGCAGACGUGUUUGGACUGGAGUGCGACCCGGCGUCACCUUGCUUCUCACAUCAACAGAGCCACACCAAAGUGCCCGUUUUGUGAGCAGAGCCUUGAUUGUAGGAGCUGGACCAUCAUGAGGCACAUGCAGCGGCACCACGUGCAUGUCAAGGCGUUCAUGUGCAACUUCUGCUGGGGCACAUUUGUGAUGAAGCAGGACAUUCUCACACAUACCCGUCGGUGUCGUGCAAGGGUGAUCGAGCUCGACAAGUGCUUGAGCUCAACCAAAAAAUGCAACUCACAGGCUCACAUUUACCCACACUUGUACAAGUGUUCCAUUUGCUUGGUCACAUUUGCAGAUGUCUCAGCAGUGGCGAGUCACAUGCAAGUUCACGUGAAUGAAAUGCAACACAGUCAAGCAGAUAGAGUUAUAGAGAAGGAUCCCUCUGAUUGCAGUGGGCAGCAGUCAGUGGCAACAGGAUCCACCAAAGUCAUGCAAGGAGAUGCAUCUACACAGUGUGACUUUAGAACAGACAUUGCUGUCAAAUCCAUGUUGGCCGAUGGCAUCUCUAAAGCGACAGAAGCUGAAUUGUGCACUCCAAAGAUAUCCAAGUGGACACAGUCCGAAGAUCUGAAAGUCUGCAAUGACGAGUCCUCAUUGCUGGAACUGACACUGCCAAACGAAGGAAUGCCUCUGGUGCUGAGAAAUUCAAGGAGGACCAGCAGUGGAAUGCUGGAACACUCAGAACUUGAUUAUGUCGCAGGAGGUGACUGUGUACUCAAAGUGACAACCAACCCACCUUGCAGUGAAGAGAGACAAGGCUCUGCCACAGUCAAUGCAGGGUCAGUAGUCACCGCCUAUGCCUGUGGACUUUGCUCAAGAAAGUUCCAGGGCCUGGAUUCUUUGACUUGCCAUGUACUGACAUGCCUAUGGCCGGAGCCUUUCCAGUGCAGCCUGUGCUCACGGAGAUGUGUGAACUGGAGCGUAGCGCGGGACCACCUUCUCACUUCUCACGUGAACAGAGCCACAGCAAAGUGCCAAUUCUGCAAGCAACCUCUUAAUCUCAGGACGGAUUGCAUCGUGACGCACAUGCUGCGGCUGCACGUGGGCGUGAAGCUGUUCAUGUGCAAUUUGUGCAAGGCCACUUUUUACGGCAGGCACAGCUUGCUUCUGCACCUUCGUCGACGGCACGAAUGCGGGAUGACGCACGAGUGCGAUUGGUGUGCGAGCUCGUUUGCCGACAAACGUGAUUUGCAGGCCCACAUUCUCCAGCACUUGAGUGCGUGGCCGUACAAGUGUCAUAUUUGCCUGGCCACAUUUGUGGAGAAGUCGGACAUUGCUAGUCACAUGCGUGAUCACAAAAAUGGGAGGUGUUAGUGUGCCUUGCAGUUUUGCAAGAUUCCCCAAUGAGCUAGGUGGCUGCUGGCCUCGCACGUUUCGAAUGCUUGGAGCUUGUGGCAAGCUUCCAGGUGUGUGAACAGCCUGCAGGCUUGUGUACUUUCAGCUCUCUCGUAUGUGGUGUAGUGGCACCUUGUGAAACCAUGUGAAUGUCAUUAAAAAGAAGCUUUACCACAGGUCCUACUCCAGUUUCCCUACUCAAAUACAUGCAAAGCAGAGCCGUGCUCUUGUUAGACAACUCCGUAGCAGCAUCAAAUGCAGAUAAUGCAGUUCUGUAGAUUGCAUCUGUUAGAGCACCUCAAGUGGACAGAUGUGAUCUGCAAGUUUGCAUGAAAUUGUUGCAAUGUUAACAAGGGUUUCAUAGAAGUCCUACUCACAAAUCACUGGCAUGUAUCACAGAAUGGUGUAUGUAUAACGUAAUUACUAGUGUAAUACCUCCACUUCUCCUUUCAGAUUUAUUUUAGGGUGCCCGCUUUACAUAAGCCUGCCUCGUGUAAGGUGGGCUUACAACUACUCACUGAAUCCUUGAACUGUACUCAGAGUGCUAUGCAAAAAAUUUGGAGGACGCUUAAGCAUGACCUUUAACAGUGGAAUGCGAUAGCAUUCAGAGAUCCCCCAACUACUUCUCACACUUCGUGGCAACUACACCUUAUGUAACCAUUGUAAUAUUUUCCUGGAAACGCUGGUAGUGAACGCUAUGCAUGAAGGCGAGCGUUUUGGUUCAGUCUGGAUGGUGUAGCAAGGAACCGAGCAGGGCGUGCCACUCCUACUAAGAAAGACCUCAAACGGCAGCUGGAGAAGGGGCUUGUGUUUGAGUUUCUACGCAACAGAAUUAUGUUUUCUUGUAUAGUAAAAUAACAAUCCGACACUAUCAUGUCUGGCAGUUGUGUGUGAGUCGUACUUUAUGAAUUAUGCACCACGCGGAGGGCCUGCGUGGACUGGAAUGCGUGGUUCGAGAUGAUUUUUCUCACACGGACAACGUCGCUGGUGCCUUUAAUUCUUUAAUGAC
RNAcentral lists this unclassified non-coding RNA (6202 nucleotides) under Dermacentor andersoni. Its description in RNAcentral is "zinc finger protein 808-like". Lineage: Eukaryota; Metazoa; Arthropoda; Arachnida; Ixodida; Ixodidae. The record is from RNAcentral.